This is a long non-coding RNA of Lemur catta (Ring-tailed lemur), 471 nucleotides long. RefSeq lists it as uncharacterized. The transcript is spliced from 3 exons. The record is from RefSeq and is a predicted model, not a curated record. Lineage: Eukaryota; Metazoa; Chordata; Mammalia; Primates; Lemuridae.
UCCUGUUUUUCAGUAAUUUCCCAUUCUACCAAUUUUGUGUUUUGCUUUGGUUUUGGUUCUUUUACAGCUGAGGUUUUUUUUUCUUUUCUUUCAUCGUUGCUAGCAUCAAGGAUUAGGAAUUUGGCUUUAUGGUCUCACCACUUGGCGAUCUGUUCGAGGAUUAAUGUUUUCCAGAGGCCUAAUGUCUGUUAAAUGACAGACAACAGAAAGUCUGGCUUGUUAGUCUUAUCUGUUUGUCUUUUUGUCUACUUUGAACUCACAUCAAUUAAGAAUUUCAUGCCCAGCGGGAGUAGAACAGCUCUUUGAUACCUGGACUGAGAGAGGGUCUCACAAUGUUGCCCAGGCUGGAGUGCAGUGGCUUUUCCCAGGUGCGAUCAUGGUGCACUAAAGCCUGGAACUUCUGGCCUUCCAGUGAUCUUCCCACCUCAGCCUCCCAGGUCAUUUUCUUCAAAAUAAAACAAACAGACUGGA